CCGACAUCGCUCCGUCCCGUCCCGCGGUGCCGCGAUCCGGACUCCGGGCUCCGCGUCGAGUCCACUCCGUGCUCUGUGCUCCGCGAUCCGGGACUUGGCGAUCUUAAUUCCGGGUUCCGGGAUUUGUCGAUCCGGGCUCCGGGAUUUCCUAAUCCAAGUUCGCGAGUUCCUCACAGACCCGGUUCGGGACAGAUUCCGCUCCGAAUUCCGCGGCCACACUCCCCGAAAAUAGUUUUGUCAAGUCUCCUUUCUGCAUCUUCGGCGUUAAAGACUCAACUCAGAGUCGGUAGCUGUGGCUCACGCCUGUAAUCCCAGCGCUUUGGGAGGCUGAGGCGGGCGGAUCCCCUGAGGUCAGAAGUUCGAGACCAGCCUGGCCAACAUGGUGAAAACCCCGUCUCUACUAAAAAUACAAAAAUUAGCCGAGUGUGGUGACGGGCGCCUGUAAUCCAAGCUACUCGGCAGGCUGAGGCAGGAGAAUCGCUUGAACCUUGGAGGCAGAGGUUGCAAUGAGCCGAGAUCGCCCCACUGCACUCCAGCCUGGGCGGCAAGAGUGAAACUCAUCAAAAAAAAAAAAAAAAAAAAAAAAGACUCAGCUGCUCUGUGGGGCAGAACAGCAGCCAACUCAACUUCCUGUAAAAGCUCAUGCUGGUAGCUCGGAACUGCCAAGGGACCUAGGAGGCUCCAGACUUGACCCAGCUGGUGAACGGUCGACUUGGCCAAGGCUGAGUUCUACCGCACAUUUUUAACGUGGCUCCGCCUCACUUUAAGGAAGCCUGGUACUUUACUCCCCAGAAAAUGCUUCUAGUCAAAAGAAAUUUGGCUUAUGAGAAACCUCCCCGCAGUUUAAAAAAAGAGGUCUUUCUCCAGUAUUUAUAGCACUUAAUUUUCAAAAAUGCAGUAUCUUUUCAGGUACACUGUGCUGUAUCAAAGUAUUCAAAAAUGCGUCAGCUGUGCCAGGGAGCCUACCCUCUGAUGGUCUGGAUCUCCUCGCCGUGAUAUGGACCAGUGCUGCUUAAACUUUAAUGAGCACAUAAAAAACACUCGAGGCUCUUAUUAAAAAUGCAGAUUGUG
RNAcentral lists this long non-coding RNA (1071 nucleotides) under Homo sapiens (human). Its description in RNAcentral is "lncRNA-TCAM1P". The record is from RNAcentral. Lineage: Eukaryota; Metazoa; Chordata; Mammalia; Primates; Hominidae.